This 514-nucleotide unclassified non-coding RNA is filed under the name Hevea brasiliensis (rubber tree). Lineage: Eukaryota; Viridiplantae; Streptophyta; Magnoliopsida; Malpighiales; Euphorbiaceae. The record is from RNAcentral.
UGGCUUGGACAGUUCAACAACUUUCCAAAUUGUGAACUCAAUAAAGCAAUACAUUCACAUUCUUAAUGGGACUGGUGUCGUUUCCCUCCUCCAGCCAGCACCAGAGACUUAUGACCUCUUUGAUGACAUUAUUUUACUGUCAGAUGGCCAGAUUGUGUAUCAGGGUCCUCGUGAAGAUGCGCUUGGUUUUUUUGAACAUAUGGGCUUCAAGUGUCCUGAACGAAAUGGCGUGGCUGAUUUCUUGCAAGAAGUGACAUCAAGGAAAGAUCAGAAGCAGUACUGGGCACAUAAAGAUCAACCUUACAGUUUUAUCACAGUCCAGGAAUUUGCUGAGGCAUUUCAAUCAUAUGACGUGGGCCAAAAAAUUGGACAAGAGCUUUCUACCCCAUUUGAUAAAAGCAAGAGCCACCCAGCUGCUUUGGCAACCGGAAAGUAUGGUAUUGGAAAGAUGGAACUGAUUAAAGCUUGCUUCUCAAGAGAGUACUUGCUAAUGAAGAGGAACUCAUUUGUCUAU